RNAcentral lists this ribosomal RNA (2773 nucleotides) under Shigella flexneri 3a. RNAcentral's name for it is "bacterial LSU rRNA". It matches the Rfam family "Bacterial large subunit ribosomal RNA". Lineage: Bacteria; Pseudomonadati; Pseudomonadota; Gammaproteobacteria; Enterobacterales; Enterobacteriaceae. The record is from RNAcentral.
AGCGUACACGGUGGAUGCCCUGGCAGUCAGAGGCGAUGAAGGACGUGCUAAUCUGCGAUAAGCGUCGGUAAGGUGAUAUGAACCGUUAUAACCGGCGAUUUCCGAAUGGGGAAACCCAGUGUGAUUCGUCACACUAUCAUUAACUGAAUCCAUAGGUUAAUGAGGCGAACCGGGGGAACUGAAACAUCUAAGUACCCCGAGGAAAAGAAAUCAACCGAGAUUCCCCCAGUAGCGGCGAGCGAACGGGGAGCAGCCCAGAGCCUGAAUCAGUGUGUGUGUUAGUGGAAGCGUCUGGAAAGGCGUGCGAUACAGGGUGACAGCCCCGUACACAAAAAUGCACAUACUGUGAGCUCGAUGAGUAGGGCGGGACACGUGGUAUCCUGUCUGAAUAUGGGGGGACCAUCCUCCAAGGCUAAAUACUCCUGACUGACCGAUAGUGAACCAGUACCGUGAGGGAAAGGCGAAAAGAACCCCGGCGAGGGGAGUGAAAAAGAACCUGAAACCGUGUACGUACAAGCAGUGGGAGCACGCUUAGGCGUGUGACUGCGUACCUUUUGUAUAAUGGGUCAGCGACUUAUAUUCUGUAGCAAGGUUAACCGAAUAGGGGAGCCGAAGGGAAACCGAGUCUUAACUGGGCGUUAAGUUGCAGGGUAUAGACCCGAAACCCGGUGAUCUAGCCAUGGGCAGGUUGAAGGUUGGGUAACACUAACUGGAGGACCGAACCGACUAAUGUUGAAAAAUUAGCGGAUGACUUGUGGCUGGGGGUGAAAGGCCAAUCAAACCGGGAGAUAGCUGGUUCUCCCCGAAAGCUAUUUAGGUAGCGCCUCGUGAAUUCAUCUCCGGGGGUAGAGCACUGUUUCGGCAAGGGGGUCAUCCCGACUUACCAACCCGAUGCAAACUGCGAAUACCGGAGAAUGUUAUCACGGGAGACACACGGCGGGUGCUAACGUCCGUCGUGAAGAGGGAAACAACCCAGACCGCCAGCUAAGGUCCCAAAGUCAUGGUUAAGUGGGAAACGAUGUGGGAAGGCCCAGACAGCCAGGAUGUUGGCUUAGAAGCAGCCAUCAUUUAAAGAAAGCGUAAUAGCUCACUGGUCGAGUCGGCCUGCGCGGAAGAUGUAACGGGGCUAAACCAUGCACCGAAGCUGCGGCAGCGACGCUUAUGCGUUGUUGGGUAGGGGAGCGUUCUGUAAGCCUGUGAAGGUGUGCUGUGAGGUAUGCUGGAGGUAUCAGAAGUGCGAAUGCUGACAUAAGUAACGAUAAAGCGGGUGAAAAGCCCGCUCGCCGGAAGACCAAGGGUUCCUGUCCAACGUUAAUCGGGGCAGGGUGAGUCGACCCCUAAGGCGAGGCCGAAAGGCGUAGUCGAUGGGAAACAGGUUAAUAUUCCUGUACUUGGUGUUACUGCGAAGGGGGGACGGAGAAGGCUAUGUUGGCCGGGCGACGGUUGUCCCGGUUUAAGCGUGUAGGCUGGUUUUCCAGGCAAAUCCGGAAAAUCAAGGCCGAGGCGUGAUGACGAGGCACUACGGUGCUGAAGCAACAAAUGCCCUGCUUCCAGGAAAAGCCUCUAAGCAUCAGGUAACAUCAAAUCGUACCCCAAACCAACACAGGUGGUCAGGUAGAGAAUACCAAGGCGCUUGAGAGAACUCGGGUGAAGGAACUAGGCAAAAUGGUGCCGUAACUUCGGGAGAAGGCACGCUGAUACGUAGGUGAAGCGACUUGCUCGUGGAGCUGAAAUCAGUCGAAGAUACCAGCUGGCUGCAACUGUUUAUUAAAAACACAGCACUGUGCAAACACGAAAGUGGACGUAUACGGUGUGACGCCUGCCCGGUGCCGGAAGGUUAAUUGAUGGGGUUAGCGCAAGCGAAGCUCUUGAUCGAAGCCCCGGUAAACGGCGGCCGUAACUAUAACGGUCCUAAGGUAGCGAAAUUCCUUGUCGGGUAAGUUCCGACCUGCACGAAUGGCGUAAUGAUGGCCAGGCUGUCUCCACCCGAGACUCAGUGAAAUUGAACUCGCUGUGAAGAUGCAGUGUACCCGCGGCAAGACGGAAAGACCCCGUGAACCUUUACUAUAGCUUGACACUGAACAUUGAGCCUUGAUGUGUAGGAUAGGUGGGAGGCUUUGAAGUGUGGACGCCAGUCUGCAUGGAGCCGACCUUGAAAUACCACCCUUUAAUGUUUGAUGUUCUAACGUGGACCCGUAAUCCGGGUUGCGGACAGUGUCUGGUGGGUAGUUUGACUGGGGCGGUCUCCUCCUAAAGAGUAACGGAGGAGCACGAAGGUUGGCUAAUCCUGGUCGGACAUCAGGAGGUUAGUGCAAUGGCAUAAGCCAGCUUGACUGCGAGCGUGACGGCGCGAGCAGGUGCGAAAGCAGGUCAUAGUGAUCCGGUGGUUCUGAAUGGAAGGGCCAUCGCUCAACGGAUAAAAGGUACUCCGGGGAUAACAGGCUGAUACCGCCCAAGAGUUCAUAUCGACGGCGGUGUUUGGCACCUCGAUGUCGGCUCAUCACAUCCUGGGGCUGAAGUAGGUCCCAAGGGUAUGGCUGUUCGCCAUUUAAAGUGGUACGCGAGCUGGGUUUAGAACGUCGUGAGACAGUUCGGUCCCUAUCUGCCGUGGGCGCUGGAGAACUGAGGGGGGCUGCUCCUAGUACGAGAGGACCGGAGUGGACGCAUCACUGGUGUUCGGGUUGUCAUGCCAAUGGCACUGCCCGGUAGCUAAAUGCGGAAGAGAUAAGUGCUGAAAGCAUCUAAGCACGAAACUUGCCCCGAGAUGAGUUCU